CAGCAAGUUGAAAACAAAACCUACACCUUUAAUCUUCUGUAUGUGUUGUGAUUGAAGGGCACGUUGUUGUAUUCUGGACAUGUUUCAGGGUUGGAGGCUUCAGGUGGACAGUAACAUGCAGCUCAGAGACAUGCAGGACACGGGGCUGGCCCUGCCUCACUCCAAGACAGCGUCGUCGGCACCACUCUGUGGCAGAGGCUGGCAACAGCAGAUGGAAAGAAGCAAGAGAGGGGAGGGCUGACCUGAUCCUGCACUUCACAAUUCAAACACAAGUCUCAUUUGAAGUGGCUGAAACAAAUCCCCAGCGUCACCUCGCUGAACCUGCUUCCUGGAAGAUAACAGCAAUGCCUUUAAAGCUCGCUCAUUAUUAUGGUUUGGGCCCACCGUCACAAAUUCCAGACAAAAGUGAAUUUCCUAUUCCCUGUCAAUAACAAGCUCGAUGUCACCUCUGAAGCUGAGGGAGCAUGAUUCAAUAAAGUUUUCUCUUUUUUUCUGUUUGACCCCUUGUCACCCUGCUCGUAACAGAGGGUUGAAUUACAGUUUUUUUUUUCUUCUCCCCACUAAGUACCCUGCAGGCUACCUAGAAACACACCGGAUUGACUAUCUUGUAUAAACCUCUGAUAAGACAGCUCGGUCACUGCGCGGCUUUGUCCGCUGUUGAAAUAAGCCGCAUAUCAAACAUUAACCGGGACAUAUUUGCAGAGGUUGAUUGGUUACAUGACCAUUUUAGCCGGCGCAAAGAUGAGCCUCCACAGCUCGAACAUCACUCGCUGUGGAACCUGCUGAGGUUAACAGAAGAAAUCACAUUUUUAAAGGUGCAAUAUGUAAAAAAAAAAAAUAAAAAAAAUGGCCUCCACACAAAAACAGGGGGCAGUAUACCUCCAGAGUAAAUGCUAACUGCUGUUAGCUGUAGAAGCUGUUGGCUAGUUAGCUGUACAGCUAGUGGUUACAAACGUAGGGCAGGAUAUAUAUCUGCAACACAAUACAUCAGUGUCUUUUGAAAUUAUGUCAAAACCCUUAUUCUUUAGCCAUUUGCAUUCUUUUGAUCAUUUUAGUGACAUUUUCUCAUAAGGUUAAAAGCUUACAUUGUGCCUUUUUUAACCAUGCCUCCGGUGUGUUGCAUGAAAACAGCAUUGUGUGUGUUUGCAGCAGAGGUGCACCGAUGUAUGAGCCAGUGUUCAGGCCGCGGACGCCGUUGCCUCCUCCUAUUGCUGCUACCUGUGAUCUGAGUGUUGUUGGGCUGUGUCUGCAGCCCAUAGAACCCCCUGUGUUUUAAGUACCGGAUAGCAAGCGCCGCUGCCGCCGACGUCCGUGUUUGCAGGAUAUUGAAAAAGACCUUUGUCAGGAAGCUGAGGCCCACCAGGCCAUUGGGGAGCAGUGAUCGUGCUGCUCCAAAUUACCAUAUCACCUUUCUCUCUUCGUCCUAAUGAACAACAAAGUCUGGUGGGUGACACUCGUGCAACGGGCUCUAUUUUGCUUGAAAGAAGUAGCAAAAAGAUGAGUAAUCUCCCGCUCUCUGUCUGAUUUUCCAUCAGAUUGUAUUUAUUGCAGUGUAAAAUAAUAUAUAACACGUGGCAGGCGGUGACACAUCUCCCUGAGUGCAUUGUGUUGCAGCGUUGAAAUGUGGCUGGAAAUGAAUCAGCGCACGAGGUAGCCCCUGUUGCUAUUACUAUGCAAACCAGAUAGAUGGCUUACAUUUAAUUUAUAUAAUAUUCCCCCGCUGAAUCAUUUUUAUUACGAAGGGGGAAAAAAAAAAAUCCUGCUAGGAAUAUUUGGCCUAUAAAGAAAUUAACUUUGUCUCUUUGCUAAGUACACCCAUGCAUCAAGCCAUUAUCUCUGUGACAGAUGAAUCAUAUUUGAUAUUACGCAAGACAAAUGUAUUCAUAUUGCAUAUUUUUCUAAUUUUUCCCGUCUGACCAUCUGUGUGUGUUACGUCUUACCGAGAUUAAUCCGCUGAUCCUAUCGGGAUGGAGGGCAGGUGUUUUUUUUCUGUUUUUUCUUUUGCCCCCCCUUCCUAACACGCAAUAGUAAGUAAGAGCUGAUAUCCAAACAUAAUCCACCAUAUUAUAUUUUAGAUCUUUGUAAUAUAUCAGGGACAGUGAUUUCCACAACUGGGCCAUAUUGAGACCUGAUUUGUUCCGUAUUAUUAUUAUUAUUUUUGCGCGUGUGCGUCAAGACUUAGCAAAUGGGGGCACACUGUGACCAGAAAAGUCAUGUGUAGGGCUGAUACGUGCCAUAUCAGUGACAUAUGAAAUAGUACUUUGUGUCCUUGGAUCAGUGUGCUAAAUCAUUUAAGCAGAAUGACCUUUGACUGGAUUAGAUGGAGGACGGGUGAACCAGAGGGGGGGGAUACUGAGACCUGUUUGGCUGGAGAUACAGAGGGCACAAGGUCGUCCUCCGCUUUCGUCACCGUUGACCCAAAUUCCAUCCAUCCUCUGCUACAAACAUCUGAUGAUUAUUUUUUUUUCCCAGGAAAUUGCAGCAUUUGAUCUCACCUACACCUCCUUCUCUUUUACCUAAGUGGCUCUGGGUGAGGGUGUGAUUGAAGUCGGACGAUGAUUUACGGAGACAACGCUCACCUAGCACGCUGUUCGGCCUGUUACGCCCUCUGUCUUACAUGCGCCCUCCUAAAUUCACUUAUGUAGAAUACUUGUCUUUUCCCAAGGUGUUAGACGGAACGAGUGGAUGCGCAGACAGAUUGCAAACUAGUGUUAAUGAUCAGCCUGUCAGGCAGAAUCUGUAUUACUUAAUCUCCCGGUCCUGCUGUACAUGAUCAAAGUGAUGCAAAUGCGUCGGGGUAUUGAUUUCUACAGCAGCCGUGCUCUUGCACUCAAAAUACUCCUUUUUUUUUACUCCGACCCACAGUUUCCCCCUCCACAUAACUGUUGUCAUUCUAACAGCCUGGAACAACAGUGCUGGCCUUGUCGAUGUUUUUUGUAAAUGUUUAAAUCUGUUUUUAUUUAUGUUAAGCACAGCCAGCUAACACUGCGUAUCACAUGCAGUGUUUGUUUGUUUUUUUUUUUUUCAAAAUCAAGGUUUUUUUGUUUUGUUUUGUUUUGUUUUAAAUCUGUGUAUCUCAUUGCAGAUAUGAAACUUGUCAAUUGAAGAUCAGGGGAUUAAAGAAGAUACAGAGCUGAAACAGAUGGUUUGCUGUGAUGUGUCCUAAAUGCUAAUCCUGUCAGCAUAGCCAGCUGUGAUUGAUACAUUAUGACAUAUUGUAAAGGUUAUAUUCAUCUGCGAUGUUUGAUCGUCAUCUCUGUACUUUCUAAAAACCCCUGUCCUCGCAAAUGAUGGGCUGUCCCCAGGAAAAACGGGGCAUUGCAGAGACGGAAGUGUAAUUGAUGCUGUUUUGAUCAAAAAGUCUGUCUGAAUUUAGUUUAAAUCCGUGUAACGACUCAUGAAGAAUGUUGCCGGACGGUGGUGAAACCCAUUUAAAGUCCCAUUCUUGAAACGUGAGCAGCCACAGUGAACUCUCUGUCACAAUGAAACAUGGUGAUUAAGACAGCCAGUGGGAGAUGAAAAUGAAUUCCUUCAGCUCUGAGGAGGUGUUGUAUGGAAUUGUCACAGGUCACCCUCCAGGCGCCCGGCGUUUGCAAAGUAAUUCAUCCAGCGUGUUAUCCCAAUAAUGAUAAAUUUCAGCCAUUAUGAAUCGA
This is a long non-coding RNA of Acanthopagrus latus (yellowfin seabream), 3653 nucleotides long. RefSeq lists it as uncharacterized. Lineage: Eukaryota; Metazoa; Chordata; Actinopteri; Spariformes; Sparidae. The transcript has 3 exons. The record is from RefSeq and is a predicted model, not a curated record.